Spodoptera frugiperda (fall armyworm) is the source of this 110-nucleotide small nuclear RNA. The record is from RefSeq and is a predicted model, not a curated record. Lineage: Eukaryota; Metazoa; Arthropoda; Insecta; Lepidoptera; Noctuidae.
GUACUACUUGCUUAAACAGUACAUUUACUAAAAUUGGAACGAUACAGACAAGAUAAGCAAGGCCCCUGCGCAAGCAUGACACGCAAAAUUGUGAAGCGUAACACAUUUUU